CGCCCCGCGACGUCACGCCCCACCCAGGCCCCGCCCAGGCCCCGCCCCCCGUUUCCACCAGCCUGUAGAGCUGCCUUGGAGCUUUAGAAACACUGAGAGGGGCGCGGCCUCUGCAAAGAUGUAGGCGGGGCACCCUCACUGGCCCAGCCCUCUGGCCGACCCCCAAGCUAGUACUGCAGUAUUAAAAGGUGACUGGGAUUUGGGGCGGGGAUUGGAAAUUGGCCACGCCUUAUUCGCCCCCGGAUUCGUGAAUGCACAGUGCGAAGCUGCUAGAGAAGAAACGGAGGGGGCAACCGAUGAAGGCCGCCAACAGCCUCUGCAGAGAGGGAGGCGUGGCUACCACCAAGGCCCCGCCCUGUUUUGGCAGCGACCCCAGCUGGAAAAACGGGACCUCUGCACAACGACUCGCCGCGCUACAUGGGCAGUCCCAGGUUUUCAUGUGAGCUCCUCUAUUCCCGAAAAGCCCUUGCAACUCCGAAGACCUCAUCAACAUGGUUUGAAGGAUCCAAGUUGGCUUCAGAUAACUGAACUCAGGCCGUUGAAGUUGGUGCCUCUCUUCUUCCAAAGGGAGUGGGAGUGAAUUCUUCUCCUCCAUCUGAGACAGGACUCUUCUCUCCAACCUGUAUGGCAGGUUUCCACUUCCCUCCAUUCACGGGGAGGACAACUGGUUCCCACACACUCAAGCUCAGUCUAGUUGGUUGCAAGGUCGUGCUUUGUAUUCAUCUCUGGCCAUCCUGGACUCACAGCUUGAUCCCCCCAGCAAGCCUAACUCAACCUUCAGAGAAUGUAUUUGAAAAUGUACACAACAAAACGGAUUUUUCUUCCAGGCAACUAGAAGGCAAAUCCAUAUCAUCUACAAAGAAACAACCUUUGAACUGACAAAUUUAUCACCGGCAAGGGUAAACAGACCAUAAUUGAAUAAUAUUCUCAAAGGAUGGAAAGAAAACAACUGCCACGUUAGGAUUAAAUAUUCAGCAUAGCUAUCCUUGAAGAGGAAGGUGAAUUGAGGAUUCAGCCAGAAUAAACAAAAGCUGUGCUUAGCCUGGUAAGCAGGUGCAAACCCCGCUAAGGAGCACUCUUCGGGAGGACAGAAACAAUGCCAGAAGAGACAAUGAGCAGAUAAACGGCACCGGUACAGCUAAGAGGGUGCUCCCUCCGUUAAAUCACUGUAUAGCUUGACCUUCAUGUUUCCCUUUGCUGGGGUUGUUAGUUUGCAAGUGACUGGGCUUCUCCCUGCAGUUUGCCAAGCCCUUUUCUGUUUUUUGUUUUUGCAACGCUGAUGAAUUUAGCUUCUCAGGGUAAGGGUGCCAUCUUCUAUCCAGCCUCUUGAUUUUAUCUCCCUGUCUUCAAAUUCUCUGGUCCAUUGAUCACAAAAACCAACGACCAACAGCAACAAUUAAAAAAUGGAGAC
Molecule: long non-coding RNA, 1411 nt
Organism: Mesocricetus auratus (golden hamster)
Lineage: Eukaryota; Metazoa; Chordata; Mammalia; Rodentia; Cricetidae
Exons: 3
Source: RefSeq, a predicted model, not a curated record